Molecule: ribosomal RNA, 253 nt
Filed under: uncultured bacterium
Lineage: Bacteria
Description: partial 16S ribosomal RNA
Rfam family: Bacterial small subunit ribosomal RNA
Source: RNAcentral
UACAGAGGGCUCAAGCGUUGUUCGGAUUCAUUGGGCGUAAAGGGUGCGUAGGCGGCGCGGUAAGUCGGGUGUGAAAUCUUGGAGCUUAACUCCGAAACUGCAUUCGAUACUGCCGUGCUUGAGGACUGGAGAGGAGACUGGAAUUUACGGUGUAGCGGUGAAAUGCGUAGAUAUCGUAAGGAAGACCAGUGGCGAAGGCGGGUCUCUGGACAGUUCCUGACGCUGAAGCACGAAGGCCAGGGGAGCAAACGGG